Molecule: ribosomal RNA, 395 nt
Filed under: uncultured bacterium
Lineage: Bacteria
Description: partial 16S ribosomal RNA
Rfam family: Bacterial small subunit ribosomal RNA
Source: RNAcentral
AUACGUAGGGUGCAAGCGUUAAUCGGAAUUACUGGGCGUAAAGCGUGCGCAGGCGGUUUUGUAAGACAGUGGUGAAAUCCCCGGGCUCAACCUGGGAACUGCCAUUGUGACUGCAAGGCUGGAGUGCGGCAGAGGGGGGUGGAAUUCCCCGUGUAGCAGUGAAAUGCGUAGAUAUGCGGAGGAACACCGAUGGCGAAGGCAAUCCCCUGGGCCUGCACUGACGCUCAUGCACGAAAGCGUGGGGAGCAAACAGGAUUAGAUGCCCUGGUAGUCCACGCCCUAAACGAUGUCAACUGGUUGUUGGGGAUUUAUUUUCUCAGUAACGAUGCUAACGCGUGAAGUUGACCGCCUGGGGAGUACGGCCGCAAGGUUAAAACUCAAAUGAAUUGACGGGG